RNAcentral lists this long non-coding RNA (10206 nucleotides) under Triticum aestivum (bread wheat). Its description in RNAcentral is "long non-coding RNA (TAES_LNC028488)". Lineage: Eukaryota; Viridiplantae; Streptophyta; Magnoliopsida; Poales; Poaceae. The record is from RNAcentral.
CGAUACAAUUAUUCAUUUAAGUCAGAGAAUAAUUGUUGUUCUGUUUACAUGAAUAAAACCUUCUAUGGUCAUACACCCAAGGUAAGUGGUUUAUUGAAUCUCGAUCGUAGUGAUACACAUAUUCAUAAUAUUGAUGCCAAAAGAUGCAAAGUUUUUUUUUGAGAAUCACCGGGGGAGGAGUCCCUCCACCUGAAUAUAUUGCUCAAAGUGGCCAUAAUGCCAGGAGAGUGAUCCAGUUUAUAAGGAAAACCAGAUCGAAAACCUUAACAAAUUGACCCCAUUUAUGAGGAAAACCGAGCCGAAAACCAGACAAGUAACAAGUGUUACAAGGAAAGGAGAGGAACAGGACGCCCAACAUAAGGCAAGACCUAGCUAGCAUACUAACAGGACCAGGUAGAUGAGGGGUGCGUCGAGGGAUCACAUUACCAAGACUCUACAGACAGGCUAACGCACUACACCGGCAUGCGUAUCAAACCCCACGGCACAACAGAGGAGCAUCCACAAUCAACGAGUGCCAAAGCUUAACACAAACCUUGUGCCAAAGCUUAACACGAACCUUGACUGAGCUCUCCGCCAUGGAAGUUCAAGACGAUUAGCAAGUCGGGGAGGUGUCAUUGCGUCGUCAUUGAGCAAAGGUGAACCAAGAUGAGACCAAGAGCCCGAGGCUCGCCUCAACAGAACAGGGUCAUGAGCAUGCAUAGAAGCAGGCCGGAGACCACACGUAGGACAACCGAAGAGAAACACCUGAAGAAGAACACACCACCCUCGGUCCUAAGCAGGCCGCACCAUGUCACGACCGGUUUUCCAAUAAAAAUGUUUAUUGAGAAACCGAUCCCUUUUACGGACCAGUAGAGAAGAAUCCUCCUCACUGGUAGACAAUCUCUUGAUCACAGAAGAAAAACCAGGAGUACUAAAUAUAAUACAAGGUUGAGCGGAGACGGCUCAACAAUUUAUUACAAGCACGCCGAUAAUACAUAAAGGCGGAUAGGGUGGCAUAACUACUGACUCACAAGAAAAGCGGUGGUGGGUAUAUCACAGUGAAGUGGGUGACAUGACUCCUGAAUCUAACAGCUCUUCGAGCGUCGGAGUGAGGCUCGAGGAUUCUUAUUGUGGGUGGCGGAAGCGUAUAUAAUACAAGUGACCAAUAUCCAGGAUCACACGGGACUGACUGGGACUCCUCUAGGCGUCGGACUCACUAUCAAACUCUUCAUCCAUGAGAUCGCCUUCGUCAACAUCUGGCCAAAUCAACAAGCCAGGUGAGUACUAUGAAAGUACUCGCAAGACAGUUCGGACAUAAGAUAUAACAAAUGUAAACAUGAUGCAUAUGAACCGAUUAAUAAAGCGUACUCAGACAAUGAGAUAGUAGUGCAUGGAAAAUAAAAGGGGAGUCGGGCGGUAGUCCUCCCGAAAUCCCAAUGUAGUACUGAAAGCCAAUCGAGUGUCUGAAUGACCCCUCGAAAGGAUACAAAUGAAAUAACAAUGCCGCAGUCGGGCGUCAAGGCGACACCACAUAAAGGGCUUAUAAUGGAAUAAAAAAGGCAGUGCAUGCCACAGUCGGACGUCUAAGCGACAUCACGUAAAGGGCUUAUAUCAAAUGUAAAUAACGAGCGUGCCACAGUCGGACGUCUGAGCGACAUCACAUAAAGGGCUUAUAUUUCAUAACUUAAUAUUUCAGUAGCUCAUGAAUUUAAAUCAUUUCAAGGGAAUAUUCAGGCGAGAUAAAUAAAAGGGUUAGUCCAUCCACAGGAAUAACAAUUUUAACCGGGUUUACCACUCAAGCUUGUUCACCGGGGAUUUACCACGGAGACUUACAUAGGGACUGACAUGGAUAUGGAUAUACUGGCCAUGGUCCUUGACCAUGGACACAUUGACUCGGAAGGUUUUGACUCUGCAGAGUUUGUACUAUUUAACCACAGCCAACGGAUUUCAGUAGUCACAAGGGACUAGUUCCGUUUACGGUGUUUUAGGAGAAACACAUCUAACCAGUACACACCCAUUCAACAUUCCGAUGCCAGGAAUCACCCUCGGCAACGUUCAAGAAAAACUUUGAGACGGGGAGGCUACAACCUCGCGUAGCAUGGGAUCAAAUUUAUACCGCGCGCUCUAAGGGGUGCCCCCCUCUCGGUCCCAACCGGAAACACCCAUGCUCCCUGACCGGAUGACUGGCUUUAAUCCAGGGCCAUGGAACCCUCAUCCCGGCCCCUCUAUUUGGUGUGUACAAGGAAAGAGGUUAGCAACUUACUAAACCGUAUUCUUUGCAGAAAACAUGUGGCAGCACGAAAGGGGAAGAACGGUAACAUGGCUCAGCCCAUGUUAAUGUCGGAGUUUAUCGGAUGACGUAAGACUAGCAUGCUACAACAAUACCAUCUUACUACCUUUCAUGUCACCACAUGAUCAGGUCAUCUCUCAUCAAAGAUUACAGUAACUUCGAAACACACGGUUAGUUGCCUUGCAUGCAACGAAAUACGCACCGAUGCUCACAUGCCAUGCACAAACCAUUCAAGCAAACAUGCAAAACACCUAUCAUAUCAAAGGUUCAAACAUGCUUUCCUGGUUCGGAGAAGUCGAAGUCUAGCUCGGCAAAUUUCGCGGCUCCGUCACCUCCUCCGGAACCUACGGUAUAACGAAACCGUAUACUAACGUGAAAAUCGUUGCGUGGAUAAAAAUUGUUUCAAAAAAUUUCCGAAUAAAUACUAUAAAAAACUAGACAAAAAUAUAAGACUGACAAAAAAGAAUCAAUCAAAAAUCAUCUUUUAUUAAAAAGAUAUAAGGGUUUUAGCCCAAGGACUGAUCUGUGAUGAAACAGAAGAGAUCCGGGGACUUGUUUGAGAAAACAGAAAACGGUUCGGUAGGAAAUACGUUACCCCAAGGAGAAAACACAUUUUGCCCGGAGGCGCUUUCAGAAAACGGUUCGAGGGAGAAAGGAGAGAGGCUGACGGGGGGGUCCCACCCGUCAGGUUUAAAACUCCCAACGGAGCUCGCCGGCGCCCGAAGGCUGCGGUGGUCGCCGGCGUUGAACCACGGCGAGGCAGAGAGAUCGGAGGGUACCAACAGGUUCAGGGUGUUCUUCCGCGUCGGUGGGUGGUGGACUUGGCCGUCGGAGAGCACCACGUCGACGGCGACACUAUCUCCGGCGGACGGUGGUUCGGGCGAUGGUGGAGUACUCCGGUGGGUGCUGCAAACUCCAAAUUAAUGCGCGGGUCAGAAGAGUGUAUGCACUAGGAGACUACUGGCAUGAGCUGAGAGGUAGGGGUGCACGCACGUGGGUGAAUCGAGCUGGGUCCCGAAGCGGGUCGAGGCGGCCGGAGUUGGGGAAGAGGACUCCCUCGGGGCUCUUCCAGUGGCUUGGCGUGGUACUGGUGGUGUGUAGAGGUGGUGCGGGUUCGAGUUCGAGCUCGGGACCUCCUUUUAUAGGCGAUCCGAGGGGGUGGCCGUGAACGGGAUAGCUCCGGCGAGCAAUUACGGCGAGGCAGAGGUUGGGCAGGGGGUUUAUGAGGCUAGGCACCAUCAAGGAGGAUCACUGGCGCCGUUUCUCUGCUCAAAACUCGGUCGGGCUUGCGUAAUGCACUGGCCCUCAGGGAGCGCGCUCCGCGCCUACCAGUUCACGACGACGGGCUGCAGCGUGCACGGGUGAGUGGAUGGCCACGCGGUGGCCUCUAGUGGCUUGGGCAGCGCUGGACGGCGCCGUCCAACGCUGCGCCUCCUUGGCAGCCGCAAAGGGCGCUGCUGCCGUCGCUCACGGGGUGGCGCACCUCCACCAGCUCGUCGCCGACGCCCGCAAGCUUCCAGGCGAUCGUGCGGCGCAUGGAUAAGAAGGAAGCACAGGGCGCACGGCGCCACCGCGGCUACUGGCGAGAUCGAGAAGAGGUUCUGAAGAAAACGACAGUGGCUCACUGAAACUGUAUCUCUGAAUUUCUGAACUUGACAGUAACAGUGCCCUUCAGGUGUUCGACGAAAUGAUUUGGCAUGAAGAAAAAAAAUUCUGGAGCUAGUACUUGGUGAGGUGACCUCUCAAUGCAUCCAGAGGCUGCCUGAAUUUUCUCAGAUUUUUAGGAGGAGAAAACAAUUGAAUUUCAUCAAAUUUGGCAAAUAUGGUCCAAACUUGCAGCAAGCACAAUUUGAAAUUUUUGAACUGGAGACCAGUGGAUCAUCAUGGAUCUUGGUUGAGGGCUCUAAGGACUAGCCAGGGAAAUUUGUUUGGAGGCCAAACUCAAAGUACAAAUGGUAGUCCCUUUGUAAAUCUCCAAGAGCUAAAGUAGAAGGCAGAAAAUAUUUUUGAUAAGAAAUAAAUGGAAGAAAAUUCAUGGGGAGGUUCAACUUGCUAGAUUUGAAGUAUAUCUUGACACAAAGAUGGGGAGUGGCUUUUGGGAGGGGAUUUCCACUCAUGUCAUGGCAAGAGGAGUUUUUGAAAGGGAAAAGGAUCACUCCAAAUGCCAUAGGCUAUUUUAAAAAGAUUUUCAAAAACUUUCCCCAAAUGAAAAACUUUUGUGUUGAGUCCACAUAAGAUGGAAAAACCUCCAAGACCAAAAAUCAAGUCUUGGGUGAAUCCAAACAAAAUACUUGUCAUAAAAGGAAAUCUUUGAGAGGGAGAGUUCUUAAAAAAAUUAAAUACCCUCCUUCAAAUCAAAUAAAGAUUUUGAUAAAACCAAAAAUAAAAUUUUUGGGUGUCACAACACCUACCCCCUUAGGAAAAAUCUCGUCCCCCCGAUUUCAGCUGAUCCUCAAAUAGAUGUGGGUACUCUGCCUGAAGAAAAUCUUCUCUUUCCCAUGUAGCUUCAUCCUCGGUGUGAUUGCUCCACUGAACCUUGAAAAAUUUAGUGGUUUUCUGAUGGGUCCUCCUUUCAGACUCUUCCAAUAUCUUUACUGGCCGCUCUCUGUAGGUGAGGUCUGGUUGCACAUCAAUGCUCUCAUGAGAUACAUGCUUCUCCGGGUUGCUCACACAUUUCCUCAAUUGUGAGACGUGGAACACGUCGUGGACGUCUGACAGCUCUUUGGGUAGGUCUAGCUGGUAGGCUACUGUGCCUCUUCGUGCAACUAUGCAGAAGGGUCCAAUAAAUCUCGGGGCUAGCUUCCCUUUAAUUUUGAACCGUUGCAGGCCCCUCAUAGGAGACACUCGUAGGUAUACAUAUUCACCGGGUUCAAAGCUGACCUCAUGAUGUUUUCGAUCGUAAUAGCUCUUUUGUCGGCUUUGAGCUAUCUUGAGUCUGUCCCUGAUCUGUUUAACUUUCUCCUCGGCUUCCUUGAGCAUGUCUGGGCCGAAGAUACGACUCUCACCUGUCUCUGACCAAUUUAAUGGGGUACGACACCUCCGUCCGUACAAUGCUUCAAAAGGUGCCAUUUGUAAGCUGGCCUGGUAACUGUUGUUGUAUGCGAACUCGGCAUACGGCAAACUUUCUUCCCAACUGGAUCCAUAGGUGAGCACACAGGCUCUCAGCAUGUCCUCUAGGAUUUGGUUCAUGCGUUCAGUUUGUCCAUCAGUCGGGGGUAGUAUGCUGUACUGAAUGCUAGUUGCGUGCCCAGAGCUUGUUGUAAGUGAUCCCAAAAUUUAGAGACAAAUUGAGUGCCUCGGUCGAAUAUUAUAGUCUUUGGGAUUCCAUGCAGACAAACUAUACGGGAGAGAUAAAGCUUAGCAAGCCUUUGAGUGGAGUAGGUCGUCUUCACGGGAAUGAAAUGUGCUACCUUGGUUAGCCUAUCUGUGAUGACCCAUAUGGCGUCAUUUCCGCGUUGUGAUCAAGGUAGUCCGACAAUGAAGUCCAUUCCAAUUUCAUCCCAUUUCCACUCAGGUAUCCGGUUUGGCUGUAGUAGCCCUGCUGGCUUUUGAUGCUCGGCUUUAAUGCGCUGACAUGAAUGGCAACAAGCAAUGAAUGCGGCUAUAUCCCUUUUCAUACCGUGCCACCAAAAUCUUUCCUGAAUGUCUUUGUACAUUUUGGUUCCUCCAGGGUGGAUCAAGUAUGGGGCGGUGUGGCUUUCGGUUAGGAUUUGAUGCUUGAGUUCCUCAAUGUUUGGUACGCAAAGCCUGUCCCCGUACCAUAAUAUUCCCUCAUUGUCUGUGACGAACUCUGAAGCUUUGCCAAGGCUCAUUUUUUUCUUUAUACCUUCGAUGCUGGGAUGUCCCUGCUGAGCCUUCUUAAUUUGUUCCAUUAGGGUGGGUUGUAUCACCAGAUUUGAUACGUUGCCCUCAGAGACUAAUACCAUGUUGAGCUUAGCGAACUCCUGCUGAAAUUCAGGCCUCAAGUUGUAUGGACUGUCGUUGCCCGAGCUGGGGUUUCGACUAAGAGCAUCUGCCACUACAUUUGCUUUCCCUGGAUGGUAGCGAAUGCCGACAUCAUAGUCCUUGACCAAUUCCAACCAGCGUCGUUGUCGUAAAUUUAGCUCUAGUUGUGUGAAAAUAUAUUUAAGGCUCUUAUGGUCCGUAUAUAUUUCACAACGAUUUCCCAACAGAAAGUGCCUCCACUCUUUGAGUGCAUGGAUGACUGCUGCUAGCUCUAAGUCAUGAGUAGGAUAAUUUUCCUCAUGCUUCCGUAGUUGCCUGGAAGCAUACGCGACAACUUUGCCGCCCUGCAUCAAUACGCACCCGAGGCCCUUCCGGGAUGCGUCACAGUACACUUCAAAACUCUUGUGUAUGUCUGGCACAAUCAAAACCGGUGUUGUUGUUAGUUUCUUUUUGAGUUCUUGGAAGCUUUUCUCGCAUGCUUCCGUCCAUACAAAUUUCUUGUCUUUCUUGAGCAGCUGUGUCAUUGGUUUUGCCAUAGUGGAGAAUCCUUCAAUAAAUCGUCGGUAAUAUCCAGCCAUUCCUAGGAAACUCCGUACAUCAGUUACGUUGGCUGGUGGUUUCCAGUCAAGUAUGGCUUUGACUUUUUCUGGGUCUACGGCCACGCCUUCUUGGGUCAAUAUAUGGCCUAGAAAACCAACUUGUCUUAGCCAAAAUUCACACUUGCUAAAUUUGGCGUACAAUUGAUGUUUCCUUAAUUCUCCCAAUACAAUUUUGAGAUGUUCAGCAUGUUCUUCUGGUGUCCUUGAGUAUACCAGAAUAUCAUCAAUGAACACCACAACAAAUUUGUCCAUAAAUUUCAUAAACACUUUGUUCAUGAGGUGGACGAAAUAUGCGGGGGCGUUCGUCAGUCCAAACGGCAUUACUGUGAACUCAUAUAUCCGUAUCUGGAGGUGAAUGCUAUCUUAGGGAUAUCUUCUGUCCGUACUUUUAAUUGAUGAUAUCCCGAUCUUAAAUCAAUUUUUGAGAACACCUUGGCUUGUGCGAGCUGGUCAAACAAAUCGUUUAUCCGUGGCAUCGGAUAUUUGUUUUUGAUGGUGACCAUAUUGAGAGCUCGAUAGUCAAUACACAAUCUCAGUGUCCCAUCCUUUUUCUUGGCGAAUAAUACUGGUGAACCCCAUGGUGAGGAGCUGGCCCGAAUAAAUCCUUUGUCCAGUAAUUCCUUUGUUUGCUUCUUCAAUUCUACCAACUCUGAGGGUGCCAUUCUAUAAGGUUUCUUAUAGAUGGGGGUGGUGCCAGGUGCUAGUUCAAUGCUAAACUCUAUCUCUCGGUCUGGUGGCAUGCCUGGUAGUUCUUCAGGAAAUACGUCGGGAAACUCGCACACCACUGGAACUUUUCUCAAUUCGGAAAUGUCCACUUUAUUCAACUUUGGUUGCCGUAACCGUGGUCUCUCUUGAGCUGUAACCUUUAUUGUCUUGCCGACAUGGUGAGUGAGGUUUACAGUCCGAUUGAAACAGUCAAUAAAUCCCUUGUUGGUGGUCAACCAGUCCAUCCCUAGGAUAACAUCCAGUCCAUUAUUUUCCAACACGAUGAGAUUAGCCUAAAACCUUAGUCCUUCGAAUUCAAUAAUCACUCCUUGGCAGUAACUCUGAGUGAUCUGCUUAUUCCAGGGGGACUUGAUGAUCAUAGAUUUUUCCAAAGGAAGUAUCGGAAAACCAUGUUGCAAAACAAAACUCUUCGAAAUGAACGAGUGAGAAGCUCCAGAAUCAAACAAAACCGUGGCAGGUAUUGUGUUGACAGGGAACGUACCGAGUACGAUGUCUGGGGCAUUCUGUGCUUCUUCCUUGGUCACAUGGUUCAGGUGACCCUUCCUGUGAUUGUUGUUGGGAUUGAAAUUGUUACGCUUGGGGGCUGGAUUGUUCCCACCAUUGUUCGGCUUGGGGGCCGAGUUCCUUGGUUUUGGGCACUGUUUGGCAUAGUGCCCUUCCUCUCCACAAGCAUAGCAAGUGACCCCUGGACGGUAUGUAAAGUCCUUGUCCCUUGAAUGAAAUUGUCUGGUUGGCCUUAGAGCAGUAGUCGUGGGUUUUCUCGCUUCAUUCCUCUGAACAUCAGUCUUGCUUCGGUUGUUGCGAGAAAGAGUCGUCUUGUCCCUUUUUCGCUUACGAAUAUCCUCUAGACUGCGGCGCUCAUUCUCCAACGUAAUGGCCUUGUCAACCAGGGUCUUGAAAUCUGGGAAAGCGUGUACGACCAGUUGGCAUUUUAGUGCUGGCGCCAGGCCGUCCAAAUUUUUUUCCAUCCUUUUGUUCUCAGUCAUAUGCUCAUCGUAGGCGUAACGAGAUAGCUGGGUAAACUGACUGUUGUAUUCCGUCACUGUCAUGCCUCUCUGCUUGAGGUCAUCAAAUUCUCUUUUCUUGAUUUUUAUGAUGCUCCUGGGGAUGUGUGCCCCACGAAAGCCUUCCUUAACCUCUUCCCAGGUGAUGUUGUGUUCACUGGGAUGCAUGUGUAGGAAGUUUUCCCACCAUGCUGCAGCUGCUCCAGUGAGGUAGUGAGGUGCAUAAAGCACCUUCUCAUGAUCAGAACAUUGAGCAAUAAUCAACUUUCUUUCGAUGUCUCGAAGCCAAUCAUCGGCUUCAAGUGGCCUAUAAGUGUGAGCAAACGUUGGAGGGCGUGUCUUCUGUAGUUCAGACAACUUGGAGUGUGGUUGGUAUGGCUCACGGUGAUUUCCCAUAUUGAUGACGUGAUUCAUCAUUUCUUGGUGUUGCUGUUGGCUUUGUUCGAAAAGGCGACAUACUUGAGAUAAGGCUGCCUCGUUGUCCUGUUGACUAGACUGCCCCUGUGUGAAGUUGUUGCUUGUCUGCGUUCCAUAAACUUCUUCGGGUGGAUUUGGCAUGGAACGAGUCCACGGACGAGACAUUUUCCACUCUGGGGUAUUAUUUGCAAAACUCAUGAGAAGAACUGUGUGGCACAAGGAAAAUUUUGGAAAAGCAAAAACUUAAAAGACCUCAAGACUUUUCAAGAAAAUAUUUGAUUGCGCACGGAGAAGGACUGCUUAGCACAAAUUUUACAUGCGAUACGCAAACAUACGAUACAUCACUCAGGAUGUGCGUACACACUCCUGACAUGUUAUUAGGCUAGCACACUCCUCCGGGACCCUACAUGAUGCGCACACAACAACCACAAACUUAAGUACAUAUAAAACAUAUCAUACAAGCAGGCACAUCGCAUGGCUACUAGGCGCACUCAGUGGGAGAUGGUGAGGAUGUCCUUCCCCCUGCCGAGGGUAAGACCCAGUGGUGCAGGAGACUCAACCUCCACCUCCUCCCUAAUAGGCUCCAGGCGCGCAGCACUGCGCUGAGGGGAUGGCGCGGGUGCGACAGGCGGUAGUGUGGGUGCGGCAGGCGGUAGUGUGGGUGCGAGGUGACAAUGUGUGUUGGAAGUGAUUCCAAAGUUGAUGAGAUCAUUGCACACUCCCUCUACCUUCGGGAUUAGUGUUGGACCUAAAUAAAUGUUAUUUGGUGUUUGCAUUGAGCAUGAAUAUGAUUGGAUCAUGUUUGUUGCGAUACAAUUAUUCAUUUAAGUCAGAGAAUAAUUGUUGUUCUGUUUACAUGAAUAAAACCUUCUAUGUUCAUACACCCAAUGUAAAUGGUUUAUUGAAUCUCGAUCGUAGUGAUACACAUAUUCAUAAUAUUGAUGCCAAAAGAUGCAAAGUUUUUUUUUGAGAAUCACCGGGGGAGGAGUCCCUCCACCUAAAUAUAUUGCUCAAAGUGGCCAUAAUGCCAGGAGAGUGAUCCAGUUUAUAAGGAAAACCAGAUCGAAAACCUUAACAAAUUGACCCCAUUUAUGAGGAAAACCGAGCCGAAAACCAGACAAGUAACAAGUGUUACAAGGAAAGGAGAGGAACAGGACGCCCAACAUAAGGCAAGACCUAGCUAGCAUACUAACAGGACCAGGUAGAUGAGGGGUGCGUCGAGGGAUCACAUUACCAAGACUCUACA